This 305-nucleotide ribosomal RNA is filed under the name uncultured archaeon. Its description in RNAcentral is "bacterial SSU rRNA". It matches the Rfam family "Archaeal small subunit ribosomal RNA", at positions 979 to 1281 of the family's 1478-position model. The record is from RNAcentral.
GGUGAGAGGAGGUGCAUGGCCGUCGUCAGUUCGUACUGUGAAGCAUCCUGUUAAGUCAGGCAACGAGCGAGACCCACGCCAACAGUUGCCAGCAUAAUCUCCGGAUUGAUGGGGACACUGUUGGGACCGCCUCUGCUAAAGGGGAGGAAGGAAUGGGCAACGGUAGGUCAGCAUGCCCCGAAUUAUCCGGGCUACACGCGGGCUACAAUGGAUGGGACAAUGGGUUUCGACACCGAAAGGUGAAGGUAAUCUCCUAACCCCACCCGUAGUUCCGAUUGCGGGCCCAACUCGCCCGCAUAUAGGAA